Molecule: ribosomal RNA, 378 nt
Filed under: Natronoarchaeum sp.
Lineage: Archaea; Methanobacteriati; Methanobacteriota; Halobacteria; Halobacteriales; Natronoarchaeaceae
Description: bacterial SSU rRNA
Rfam family: Archaeal small subunit ribosomal RNA
Source: RNAcentral
UUAUUGGGCCUAAAGCGUCCGUAGCUGGCCAGGCAAGUCCGUCGGGAAAUCCGCGCGCUUAACGCGCGGGCGUCCGGUGGAAACUGCGUGGCUUGGGACCGGAAGACCUGAGGGGUACGUCUGGGGUAGGAGUGAAAUCCCGUAAUCCUGGACGGACCACCGGUGGCGAAAGCGCCUCAGGAAGACGGAUCCGACGGUGAGGGACGAAAGCUCGGGUCACGAACCGGAUUAGAUACCCGGGUAGUCCGAGCUGUAAACGAUGUCUGCUAGGUGUGCCACAGGCUACGAGCCUGUGGUGUGCCGUAGGGAAGCCGUGAAGCAGACCGCCUGGGAAGUACGUCCGCAAGGAUGAAACUUAAAGGAAUUGGCGGGGAGCAC